UCUAACUAACUGCCUUGACGUUUUUAAACACAGCAAGGUAAAUGUUUUAUUUUGUGACAUGCAGUGCUCAAGAGGUUACAGUUUAACACUUGACUGGAAUGGGAACAAGCCCUUUGGUGUUUUCUGAAGAAAAAGAAAUGCACACCAUGAACUGAGAAGUUCUCCGGGACACACGGCGUCAUGGAAAAAUCUCAUCUGUCGGCUGUUUGGAGAAAUUGGAAAUGGAAGCUGGUGGGAGAUGUGAGAGUGAAUCAAAGUCGUCCAGGGAGCUGAGGGUUGGGGUCUCCUCUGAGCUUUUUACUACUGAAGCAUCCAGCCAAAGCCAGCAAUUACCCAGCAGUCCCUGCACCCCCAGUGCCAGCAAGCCUCAUCUUCACCAAUUAGCGUAGAGGGUGAUCUUCUACAUGCUGUUUUGAUCAAACAGUGAGAUGCUGCAGAGGCUGCAAAAUGUGUCUGAGGAGCUGCUAAUGAAAGAAUACAAGACACGAUUAAUUCUUGAUAAUGUUAAUCAGCAAAUCGGCGAGUGCUCUCUGUCUUUUUCUCUCUCUCUCUCUCUCACUCAGCAGUGCCACAGGAGUCCCACAGGCGUCCACGCCUCAGCAGGAGUUACGAAAACACUGGAGACGCACUAAUGACUGCAAAGCUACACACCCGUCCCGCGUUAUGAACCGGGCACAAUUGCUGAGGCAGCAGCAGCAGGGAAAAAACAAAUUGGCACAAUCACACUGCAGAUGCUGUUGAUGUGACAAUCAAGCAUGAGGGCGAGGGCGCUGCUGUCGAUCGACGCUCCACUUGGACGCAAGAUCCAAUUUUGGUGGCCGCAUCAUCUCUGCUGGAGUUACAAUAGCGGCGGAGCUCGUCGAUGGCUUCAGCGCCGGUGGAGCGGUUGCCCUUUCUGCGUGGAUGUGCGGCAGGAGGCCGCUUCCCUCAGCUGAAGGUAACAAGGUAUGACUCAAGUGAAAGUACAAGAGCUACAGGGAUCAAAGAUCUCCAACAAGUCUGGCCCGAUGAAAGGUCAGGGCUGUUCAAUCAGAGUGAACAGUGAACUGAGCCGCAACAUCACAGACGUGUUUGAGGGGGAGAUUUCAAAGAGAAUUUCCUUUGCCUCUUAAAUCUGCUUUUGAGGACACUUUCAUAAAAAAUGAACGCACUUUUGUAGCACACAAAUGAUCAACAAACCUCUGACCUUUGCAUCACUUAUUAAAGGUACAUUGCAUUAAAUGUUGCCACAUUUGUUGGUGAAGUUCCCAGUAUGGGUGGCACGAUACCACUUUUUCCAUGUCCAAUACCGAUAUCUCAAACUCGAUACCAAUAUCAGUGUGAUACAGUCAUUUAAGCUGUAAACAACACAUUUUUGCCAUUUGUAGAACAAAUAUU
Molecule: long non-coding RNA, 1377 nt
Organism: Solea senegalensis (Senegalese sole)
Lineage: Eukaryota; Metazoa; Chordata; Actinopteri; Pleuronectiformes; Soleidae
Exons: 6
Source: RefSeq, a predicted model, not a curated record